CACACCUCUAACAUCCAUGAACAUCAUUACAUAACUAUACUGUACUUUUACAUUACAUCGUUCUACGAUUUGUCAUGUCCACAUUCUAUCUAUUACAAAAACAAGCUUUACUCUAACCGACCUCCUCUUCUAUCCUGUACCUGCAAGCCUGGGGGUAAAAGGGAGAGGGGUGAGCUAAAAGCCCAGUGAGUAGAACUAUAAAACAUAUUAACACUAUGCUCCAAUGAAAUGCAUCAUAACACAGACAAUUCACAUAAGGGUUGGGUGAACUUGUCACCAAUUAGUCCAAGCUAACUCUGUGCCAGGCCGUAGCAUGGGGUCCUGGUCUUCCUGUCAUACAUACAUUACUUACCAUUGUCCCAGGGCCUCCUCUGUGCUCCUGGUCUUCGAGUCCCAUAACCGUGCCAGGCCGUAGAAUGGGGUCCUGGUCUUUCCUUACUCUGUGCCAGGCCGUAGAAUGGGGUCCUGGUCUUCCUGUCAUGGACUAAUUGGGUCAUCCAACAUUCACCCACAUCAACAACAAUCGAUGCAAUGCGGCAUAUUCGUGAAAACUAAUGCAAUCAUCCUUUUGCGUAAUCAUGAUGCAUGAAACAUGAUAAAACAUUAAAUUUCUCAAUUUAAAAGAUUAAGUUUUGUUCCACUCACCUCUGGCUGACUCUGACAACACCGAAGCAGCUGAACUUACUGCUGGGGUCCUCGGUUCCUCGGGUCCGAACCUACACAGGUGGACUCAAAUGAGGGACCAAACAUACUAGAACAUAUCUCUAAACUACUCCCCAAAAACCCCCUAAAACAUCAUGAAACAACCAUAGAAAAACAUGUAAAGGAGGCCUGGACAGGGCACUUUCGGCGGCAGGUUCGGCGGCCGAAAGUCCCUUCAGAGCCGAAAGUCAGGCAGGUUUGGCGGCACCUUCGGCGGCCGAAACUCCCAGACAGAGACGAAACUCAUGCAUCUUCGGCGGCACUUUCGGCGGCCGAAACUGCCAGACAGAGACGAAAGUCUCCUUUCGGGGGCAAGCUUCGGCAGCCGAAAGGCUGCCUCCCCAGCCAUGUUCGGCGGCCGAGAAUCCUUCGGCUGCCGAACCUGGUUUCUACCAAAGGGCAAAAACUUGGCUCCCUUUGCACAUUUCGCCUCCAAACUUAUGAAACAUGCAUCAAACCUAUUCUACAACACACAAACACAAGCAUACAUGUUCCUAGGGGCCUCAAACCAACAUAAACCCCAUCUACAACACAUCAAGAAACUCACAUUGUUCAUGAACAAACAUUUAUACCCAUAAACAUAACCAUAACCUAAACAUGCAUUCUACCCCAUAUAUCUACUUAAAACUUAUUUUAAACGUGCAAUGAGCUUAAGAUCGGCUCUUACCUCUUGAAGAUCGAGAGAGAGACGACCUAAACUCGAAGUUGGGAGAGCUUGAGUUCUUGAACCUCCAAGCUCCAAAACUUUGCUCAAAUGCUCAAAUCUUCAUAAUAAAGUUAAAACAAAUGAAAAUCUUGAAAGAUCUAGAGGAAAGACGCCAAAGAUGGGUGAGGGGCAGCGGAGACUCACCUUGGCCGAAAAUGGGGAAAAAGCUCGCCCGUUUUCGGCUAAGGGACCCUUUUAUAGUGGCUGGCCAGACCACGUUCGGGGGCCGAAUGUGCCUCCGCAUGCAUGCCAUGUUCGGCGGCCGAACUUGAGGUUCGGCGGCCGAACCUAGACUUCCCUCACUUAUGCUUUCGGGGGCCUAAAGCACACCCGCAACGCAUGCAUGUUCGGCGGCCGAACUUGAGGUUCGGCGGCCGAACCUGAGUUUUCCUCCAAUGCUAUUUUCAUGCAAAAACUCAUUUUCUUUCAUGCUUAAAACAUAAAACAGAUUAAAACAUUUUAUAAAAACAUGGUUUUACCCUACUAGAGGCUUCCGACACCCGAGAUUCCACCGGACGGUAGGAAUUCCGAUACCGGAGUCUAGCCGGGUAUUACAUUCUCCCCCCCUUAAGAACAUUCGUCCCCGAAUGUUCCUCAACUAGCACAUGCAUAGAAUCAUCACAACAUACACAUAAAACACAUAGAGACUAACCUUAAAAGAGAUGAGGAUAUUGCCGGAGCAUGGACUCCCGUGUCUCCCAAGUGCAUUCUUCCAGAUUGUGGUGGUUCCAAAGGACUUUCACCAUCGGGAUUU
This 2162-nucleotide long non-coding RNA is filed under the name Manihot esculenta (cassava). RNAcentral's name for it is "long non-coding RNA (MESC_LNC004656)". Lineage: Eukaryota; Viridiplantae; Streptophyta; Magnoliopsida; Malpighiales; Euphorbiaceae. The record is from RNAcentral.